UUGGGAAGAACCAAAUUCUGCUUAGUAAAUUUACUGGCUCGACAUAGUGCAGCUCCAACAAAACGCCAUUGGACAGGAGUAAAGAAUAUCUUCAGAUAUUUACAAGGUACUAAAGAUCUUGGUUUAUUCUAUCGGAAAAAUCAAGACAUGACCCUGAUUGGUUAUUGUGACGCUGGAUAUCUUUCUGAUCCCCAUAAUGCCAGGUCACAAACAGGGUUUGUAUUUUUAUAUGAUGGAACCGCUAUUUCAUGGAAUUCAACAAAACAGACUUUAGUAGCUACCUCCACUAAUCACUCUGAAAUAAUUGCAUUAUUCGAAGCCUCACGAGAAUGUGUAUGGCUCCGCAGAGUAAUAAAUCAUAUUCAGACAUCAUGUGGUAUUGGUUCAUUACAAUCACCAACCAUUAUCUAUGAAGAUAAUGCUGCAUGUGUUGCUCAAAUGCAUAUGGGAUAUAUUAAAAGUAAUAUCACAAAACAUAUCUCUCCAAAACUAUUUUUUCCUCAUGAAUUACAGAAAGAUGGAGAGAUUGAUAUUUUG
This 537-nucleotide ribosomal RNA is filed under the name Triticum aestivum (bread wheat). RNAcentral describes it as "partial small subunit ribosomal RNA". The record is from RNAcentral. Lineage: Eukaryota; Viridiplantae; Streptophyta; Magnoliopsida; Poales; Poaceae.